AUCGGAUCUGCUAUAAUCCCAUGAAAUUGGAGGUGCGUGGUCGUGGGUUGUAAUUUCCCUGCUGUAGACUUCCACACAUCCGCUAACACUUGCGUGAUACGGGAAUUUCUGUGAUAGUAAAUUCCAAUUAUGUAUUAAUAUGUUUUUCGAAAUGUCUGGAUCAUGCACGUCACAUAAAUUCUCAACUGCCACAGGCGCGUGCCUCUCUACCUCAUGUUUCGGAAGACAAGCCCAGUGAAAAGAAGCCAACUCUCCCUGUCUCCUUAUCUAUCCUGUUUUCAGUUGAAACCGGGAUUCAUACUUGAAGAGCAUACUUCUCCAGCGUGCCAGUGGCCAUCGAAGUUUCAUCAGCUGUCCGAGUGGCUGGUCUCAGACGAUCCUGGAGGUGAUGAAGUCCGUUGUGGAGGUCCUGGGCUGGUGUGGUUACAUGUGGUCUGCGGUUUUGAGGCCGGUUGGACGUACUGCCAAAUUCCUUAAAACGUUGGAGGGGCCCUAUGGUAAAGAAAUUAACAUUCAAUUCACUGGCAACAGCUCUGGUGGACAUUCCUGCAGUCAGCAUGCCAAUUGCACGCUCCCUCAAAACUUGAGACAUCUGUAGCAUUGUGUUGUGUGACAAAACUGCACAUUUUAGAGUGGCCCAGCAUAAGGUGCACCUGUGUAAUGAUCAUGCUGUUUAAUCACCUUCUUGAUAUGCCACACCUGUCAGGUGGAUGAAUUAUACUGGCAAAGGAGAAAUUCUCACUAAGAGGGAUGUAAACACAUUUGUGCACAACAUUCAAGAUAAAUAAGAUUUUUGUGCGUAUGGAACAUUUCUGCGAUCUUUUAUUUCAGCUUAUGAAACAUGGGACCAACACUUUACGUGUUGCGUUUAUAUUUUUGUUCAGUGUAUUAUGUAGGCCUACCUGUUUGAGCUCCUGUUAGACAGAUUCAAUUUAAUUUCUCAAGAGGAGGCUGUACAGUCUUUCCCUCUACCUGUGUCUGUUCAGAUAGGACAUGUUUUAAGCAUGAUACAGAGGCUAUUUCUUUUGGGCAAUUCUUGCGUAUAUUUGCUAAAGCUACUUGUAUUUUUCAUACGAUAUUGUGCUUUCACCACUGGAUAACCAAGAUCUAUAAAUAAAUGUACACUCUGAGCACGUCAUCUUGCCUUGCCUUCUGCUGAUUUCAUGGCCUUAUGACUGAUACAAGGUCCCUAUUUUACAUUUACACAAAAUAAUGAAAAGGGCUGUCUGGUAGACUCAAUAAAUCGCCAAAAUAAUGAAAAGGGCUGUCUGGUAGACUCAAUAAAUCGCCAAAAUAAUGAAAAGGGCUGUCUAGUAGACUCAAUAAAU
Long non-coding RNA from Oncorhynchus tshawytscha (Chinook salmon), 1328 nucleotides. Lineage: Eukaryota; Metazoa; Chordata; Actinopteri; Salmoniformes; Salmonidae. The record is from Ensembl.